CACACGACUCUCGGUAACGGAUAUCUCGGCUCUUGCAUCGAUGAAGAACGUAGCAAAAUGCGAUACCUGGUGUGAAUUGCAGAAUCCCGCGAACCAUCGAGUCUUUGAACGCAAGUUGCGCCCGAGGCCACUCGGCCGAGGGCACGCCUGCCUGGGCGUCACGC
This 164-nucleotide ribosomal RNA is filed under the name Elymus tibeticus. Its description in RNAcentral is "5.8S ribosomal RNA". It matches the Rfam family "5.8S ribosomal RNA". Rfam says of the family: 5.8S ribosomal RNA (5.8S rRNA) is a component of the large subunit of the eukaryotic ribosome. It is transcribed by RNA polymerase I as part of the 45S precursor that also contains 18S and 28S rRNA. The record is from RNAcentral. Lineage: Eukaryota; Viridiplantae; Streptophyta; Magnoliopsida; Poales; Poaceae.